Molecule: small nuclear RNA, 336 nt
Filed under: Mustela putorius furo (domestic ferret)
Lineage: Eukaryota; Metazoa; Chordata; Mammalia; Carnivora; Mustelidae
Description: 7SK RNA (ENSMPUG00000021181.1)
Rfam family: 7SK RNA
About the family: 7SK was discovered as an abundant small nuclear RNA in the mid-70s but a possible function has only recently been suggested. Two independent studies have found that 7SK RNA binds the CDK9/cyclin T complex (known as elongation factor P-TEFb). P-TEFb activates transcription by phosphorylating the C-terminal domain of RNA polymerase II.
Source: RNAcentral
GGAUGUGAGGGAGAUCUGCCUACAACAUUGGUCACCUCAAUGAUCGCCAGAUUGACCAGGCUGAUCUGGCUGUCUAGGCACGUGUCCCCUUCUUUCUUGACUUCUCCAUGUGAAUCCUCCCAAAGCUGCACACUGGGUCUAAGAGGAUGACCUAUCCCAAUAGAGGCAGACCAGUCUUCUUUAGUUAAGGGUAUGGCAGUAGCUGCAUUCCCCUGCUGGAAUAUCCAUCCAAACAAGCUCUAAAGGUCAAUUUAAAUGUAGGAGACCAUAAGGUUGUCUAGCUUUCAGGAUUCCAGACACAUCCAAAUGAGGCACAGCAUGUAGCAUUCUGCCUUU